This 30-nucleotide non-coding RNA is filed under the name Rattus norvegicus (Norway rat). The record is from RNAcentral. Lineage: Eukaryota; Metazoa; Chordata; Mammalia; Rodentia; Muridae.
CAACAACCACGUGCUGUCUGUGCGCGUCCA